UUUAUUGAGAGUUUGAUCCUGGCUCAGGAUGAACGCUGGCGGCGUGCCUAACACAUGCAAGUCGAACGGAGUUACGAGAGCUUGCUUUUGUAACUUAGUGGCGGACGGGUGAGUAAUGUAUGAGCAACCUGCCUUUCAGAGGGGGACAACAGUUGGAAACGACUGCUAAUACCGCAUAAUGUAUUUUGAGGGCAUCCUCGGGAUACCAAAGGAGCAAUCCGCUGAAAGAUGGGCUCAUAUCUGAUUAGCUAGUUGGUGGGGUAACGGCUCACCAAGGCUGCGAUCAGUAGCCGGACUGAGAGGUUGAACGGCCACAUUGGGACUGAGAUACGGCCCAGACUCCUACGGGAGGCAGCAGUGGGGAAUAUUGGGCAAUGGGCGAAAGCCUGACCCAGCAACGCCGCGUGAAGGAAGAAGGUCUUCGGAUUGUAAACUUCUUUUAUGAGGGACGAAGGACGUGACGGUACCUCAUGAAUAAGCCACGGCUAACUACGUGCCAGCAGCCGCGGUAAUACGUAGGUGGCAAGCGUUAUCCGGAUUUACUGGGUGUAAAGGGCGCGUAGGCGGGAUGCAAGUCAGAUGUGAAAUCCCUGGGCUCAACUCCGGAACUGCAUUUGAAACUGUUUUUCUUGAGUGCUGGAGAGGUAAGCGGAAUUCCUAGUGUAGCGGUGAAAUGCGUAGAUAUUAGGAGGAACACCAGUGGCGAAGGCGGCUUACUGGACUGUAACUGACGCUGAGGCGCGAAAGCGUGGGGAGCAAACA
Molecule: non-coding RNA, 762 nt
Filed under: Haemonchus placei
Lineage: Eukaryota; Metazoa; Nematoda; Chromadorea; Rhabditida; Trichostrongylidae
Description: Bacterial small subunit ribosomal RNA
Rfam family: Bacterial small subunit ribosomal RNA
Source: Rfam by way of RNAcentral